UCCUGGCUCAGGAUGAACGCUAGCUACAGGCUUAACACAUGCAAGUCGAGGGGAAACGAUAGAGAAGCUUGCUUUUUCUAGGCGUCGACCGGCGCACGGGUGAGUAACGCGUAUCCAACCUGCCCAUCACUUGGGGAUAACCUUGCGAAAGUAAGACUAAUACCCAAUGACGUCUCUAGAAGACAUCUGAAGGAGAUUAAAGAUUUAUCGGUGAUGGAUGGGGAUGCGUCUGAUUAGCUUGUUGGCGGGUAACGGCCCACCAAGGCGACGAUCAGUAGGGGUUCUGAGAGGAAGGCCCCCCACAUUGGAACUGAGACACGGUCCAAACUCCUACGGGAGGCAGCAGUGAGGAAUAUUGGUCAAUGGACGAGAGUCUGAACCAGCCAAGUAGCGUGCAGGAUGACGGCCCUAUGGGUUGUAAACUGCUUUUAUAAGGGAAUAAAGUGAGUCUCGUGAGACUUUUUGCAUGUACCUUAUGAAUAAGGACCGGCUAAUUCCGUG
This 501-nucleotide ribosomal RNA is filed under the name uncultured bacterium. RNAcentral's name for it is "bacterial SSU rRNA". It matches the Rfam family "Bacterial small subunit ribosomal RNA", at positions 17 to 507 of the family's 1533-position model. The record is from RNAcentral.